GGUAACAGUGAUGAGUCCUUGCACAGUUACAGACCUGUGAUGAUUCUUGCGGAGAUGAUCGCAUGAUUCAAAGAACAUCUAAGGGACUGAGUUGUC
Small nucleolar RNA from Sorghum bicolor (sorghum), 96 nucleotides. It matches the Rfam family "Small nucleolar RNA SNORD25". From Rfam's summary of the family: U25 is a member of the C/D class of snoRNA which contain the C (UGAUGA) and D (CUGA) box motifs. U25 is found in gene clusters in plants, and within the U22 snoRNA host gene (UHG) in mammals. U25 is thought to as a 2'-O-ribose methylation guide for ribosomal RNA. The record is from Rfam. Lineage: Eukaryota; Viridiplantae; Streptophyta; Magnoliopsida; Poales; Poaceae.